UACGUAGGGGCCAAGCGUUGUCCGGAAUCAUUGGGCGUAAAGAGCGUGUAGGCGGCUUGUUAAGUCUUGCGUGAAAUCUCGGGGCUCAACCCCGAGCGGUCGUGAGAAACUGGCAGGCUAGAGUGCGGGAGAGGAGAGUGGAAUUCCUGGUGUAGCGGUGAAAUGCGCAGAUAUCAGGAAGAACACCCGUGGCGAAGGCGGCUCUCUGGAACGCAACUGACGCUGAGACGCGAAAGCGUGGGGAGCAAACAGG
Molecule: ribosomal RNA, 253 nt
Filed under: uncultured bacterium
Lineage: Bacteria
Description: partial 16S ribosomal RNA
Rfam family: Bacterial small subunit ribosomal RNA
Source: RNAcentral